AAGGUAGCAUAAUCAUUUGUCUUUUAAUUGAAGGCUGGAAUGAAGGAGGCGACGAAAUUUAGGCUAUUGGUUUGUUAAAUAAAAUUAACAUAAUGGUUAAAAGGCCUUUAUAAACUAAAGGGACGAUAAGACCCUAUAAAACUUUACUAUAAAGUGGGUUUACUAGAUAAAAUUUAAAUUUAUAGUUUAGCUGGGGUGGUUUAUAUAAAAACAAUUGUAGUAUAAAUAUUUUAAAUAAAAUUUGAGAUCUCUAAUAGGAAAUAAAUAAGUUACUUUAGGGAUAACAGCAUAAUUUUCCCAGAGAGUCCUAAUUGGCGGGGGAGUUUAUGACCUCGAUGUUGAAUUGGGGUAUCUAGUGUGAGUAGAAACAUAUUAAGAUAGUCUGUUCGACUAUUAAAUCCCC
RNAcentral lists this ribosomal RNA (403 nucleotides) under Proasellus chauvini. Its description in RNAcentral is "partial 16S ribosomal RNA". It matches the Rfam family "Bacterial large subunit ribosomal RNA", at positions 1953 to 2597 of the family's 2925-position model. The record is from RNAcentral. Lineage: Eukaryota; Metazoa; Arthropoda; Malacostraca; Isopoda; Asellidae.